Molecule: small RNA, 28 nt
Filed under: Bombyx mori (domestic silkworm)
Lineage: Eukaryota; Metazoa; Arthropoda; Insecta; Lepidoptera; Bombycidae
Description: piRNA piR-bmo-1312559
Source: RNAcentral
UGAACUGAGGGCCGCCGACAACGUUAAA